GAGUUUGAUCCUGGCUCAGGAUGAACGCCAGCGGCAGGCCUAAUACAUGCAAGUCGAGGGAGAUUGUUGGAUUCGUCUGACAUGAAACCGGCGCACGGGUGCGUAACACGUAUGCAACCUACCUUUAACUGGGGUAUAGCUCAGAGAAAUCUGAAUUAAUCCCCCAUAAGACUACGACAUGGCAUCAUGAUGUAGUUAAAGCUCCGGCGGUUAAGGAUGGGCAUGCGGUACAUUAGCUAGUUGGUGAGGUAAUGGCUCACCAAGGCUACGAUGUAUAGGGGGUCUGAGAGGAUGAUCCCCCACACUGGUACUGAGACACGGACCAGACUCCUACGGGAGGCAGCAGUAGGGAAUAUUGGUCAAUGGACGCAAGUCUGAACCAGCCAUGCCGCGUGAAGGAUGAAGGCCCUCUGGGUCGUAAACUUCUUUUAUUAGGGAAGAAAACAUGGGAUGCGUCCCAAACUGACGGUACUUAAUGAAUAAGGAUCGGCUAACUUCGUGCCAGCAGCCGCGGUAAGACGAAGGAUCCAAGCGUUGUCCGGAUUUACUGGGUUUAAAGGGUGCGUAGGCGGAAAAUUAAGUCAGUGGUGAAAGCCCGCAGCUCAACUGUGGAACUGCCAUUGAAACUGAUUUUCUUGAAUAUAGCUGAGGCAGAUGGAAUAUAACAUGUAGCGGUGAAAUGCUUAGAUAUGUUAUAGAACACCGAUUGCGAAGGCAGUCUGCUAAACUAUUAUUGACGCUGAGGCACGAAAGCGUGGGGAGCGAACAGGAUUAGAUACCCUGGUAGUCCACGCCCUAAACGUUGAUUACUCGCUGUUGGCGAUAUACUGUCAGUG
RNAcentral lists this ribosomal RNA (836 nucleotides) under uncultured bacterium. RNAcentral's name for it is "bacterial SSU rRNA". It matches the Rfam family "Bacterial small subunit ribosomal RNA", at positions 9 to 845 of the family's 1533-position model. The record is from RNAcentral.